This 253-nucleotide ribosomal RNA is filed under the name uncultured bacterium. RNAcentral describes it as "partial 16S ribosomal RNA". It matches the Rfam family "Bacterial small subunit ribosomal RNA", at positions 524 to 776 of the family's 1533-position model. The record is from RNAcentral.
UACAGGGGGUGCAAACGUUGCUCGGAAUCAUUGGGCGUAAAGCGCACGUAGGCGGUCUGUUAUGUCGGAUGUGAAAGCCCUCGGCUCAACUGAGGAAGUGCAUCCGAAACUGGCAGGCUAGAGUACUAAAGAGGGUCGCGGAAUUCCCGGUGUAGAGGUGAAAUUCGUAGAUAUCGGGAGGAACACCGGUGGCGAAGGCGGCGACCUGGGUAGAUACUGACGCUGAGACGCGAAAGCGUGGGGAGCGAACAGG